UACGAAAGGGGCUAGCGUUGUUCGGAAUUACUGGGCGUAAAGCGCACGUAGGCGGCCUUGUAAGUUGGAGGUGAAAGCCCGGAGCUCAACUCCGGAACUGCCUUCAAGACUGCAAAGCUCGAGGACGCGAGAGGUUAGCGGAAUUCCGAGUGUAGAGGUGAAAUUCGUAGAUAUUCGGAAGAACACCAGUGGCGAAGGCGGCUAACUGGCGCGUUUCUGACGAUGAGGUGCGAAAGCGUGGGGAGCAAACAGG
Molecule: ribosomal RNA, 253 nt
Filed under: uncultured bacterium
Lineage: Bacteria
Description: partial 16S ribosomal RNA
Rfam family: Bacterial small subunit ribosomal RNA
Source: RNAcentral